GGGUGCGAUCAUACCAGCACUAAUGCACCGGAUCCCAUCAGAACUCCGCAGCUAAGCGUGUUUGGGCGAGAGUAGUACUAGUAUGGGUGACCUCCUGGGAAGUCCUCGUGUUGCACCCC
RNAcentral lists this ribosomal RNA (119 nucleotides) under Macleaya cordata. The record is from RNAcentral. Lineage: Eukaryota; Viridiplantae; Streptophyta; Magnoliopsida; Ranunculales; Papaveraceae.